This 464-nucleotide ribosomal RNA is filed under the name uncultured bacterium. Its description in RNAcentral is "bacterial SSU rRNA". It matches the Rfam family "Bacterial small subunit ribosomal RNA", at positions 917 to 1382 of the family's 1533-position model. The record is from RNAcentral.
GGGCCCGCACAAGCAGCGGAGCAUGUUGCUUAAUUCGAGGCAACGCGAAGAACCUUACCUAGGCUUGACAUGUAUGGAAAAGCCGCAGAGAUGCGGUGUCCUUCGGGGUCAUACACAGGUGGUGCAUGGUUGUCGUCAGCUCGUGUCGUGAGAUGUUGGGUUAAGUCCCGCAACGAGCGCAACCCUUGUCCUAUGUUGCCAGCGGGUAAUGCCGGGGACUCGUAGGAGACUGCCGGGGUCAACUCGGAGGAAGGUGGGGACGACGUCAAAUCAUCAUGCCCCUUAUGUCUAGGGCUGCAAACAUGCUACAAUGGCCGGUACAAAGGGCUGCGAAACCGCGAGGUGGAGCGAAUCCCAUAAAGCCGGUCUCAGUUCGGAUUGGAGUCUGCAACUCGACUCCAUGAAGCUGGAGUUGCUAGUAAUCCCGGAUCAGCAACGCCGGGGUGAAUACGUUCCCGGGCCUU